This 253-nucleotide ribosomal RNA is filed under the name uncultured bacterium. Its description in RNAcentral is "partial 16S ribosomal RNA". It matches the Rfam family "Bacterial small subunit ribosomal RNA", at positions 524 to 776 of the family's 1533-position model. The record is from RNAcentral.
UACGUAGGUGGCAAGCGUUGUCCGGAAUUAUUGGGCGUAAAGCGCGUGUAGGCGGCCCGGUAAGUCCGCUGUGAAAGUCGGGGGCUCAACCCUCGAAUGCCGGUGGAUACUGUCGGGCUAGAGUGCGGGAGAGGCGAGUGGAAUUCCUGGUGUAGCGGUGAAAUGCGCAGAUAUCAGGAGGAACACCGGCGGUGUAGACGGCUUUCUGGACCGUAGCUGACGCUGAGACACGAAAGCGUGGGUAGCAAACAGG